AACCCCUCACAUUAUUGGGGUCCCAUUGACCCCCCCCAAAUAACACCUCACAUUAUUGGGGUGCCGUUGAUCCCCUCUUCCUCAAUAACACCUCAUUUUAUUGGGGUCCCAUUGAUCCCCUCCUCCUUAAUAACACCUCAUUUUAUUGGGGUCCCAUUGCCCCCCCCAAUAACACCUCACUGUAUUGGGGAUCCUAUUGCCCCCCCCAAAUAACACCUAUCAUUAUUGGUCCCUUUGGUCCUCUUCUCCUCAAUAACACCUAAUUUUAUUGGGGUCCCAUUGACCCCCCCCCCCCCGUCAAUAACACCUCACUGUAUUGGGGAUCCUAUUGCCCCCCCCAGAUAACACCUCACAUUAUUGGGGUCCCCUCCCUGGGAUGCCCCUGAGCCCCCGCCAUGGCGGCCCCCCCCCCCAGCGGCAGCAGCAUCAUCGUCCUCGACGAUGAGGACGAGGGGCUCCCCGCUCCCCCCCCCCGCCGUCAGCAACCCCCCUCCGCCCCCCACGCCCCCCCCCCAGCCCAAUGGGGCCCCCCCCGGCAGCCCCGGGCCCCCCACCCCCGGUGGCAGCAAAGCAGGAGGCUUCAAGGCUGAGAACGAGCGGCUCUUCACUGAGUUCCUGGAGCUGUGCGGCGCCCUCACGGAGGAGCACCCCGAGGUGCUCCCGUUCCUAUCCGGCCGCCACCAAAAGGCCACGGCCGAAUUCCUGUCGUCGGCGGAGUUCAGGAACAUCUUGUCGCGCUGCCUGGCCCGCGUCCGCGCCCGCCGCAACAAAGUCUACGUCUACAUCAACGAGCUGUGCACGGUGCUCAAAGCGCACACCCUGCGCAGGAAGCUCAGCCUGGCCUCCGCCCCGCCGGGACCCCCAUCGCCCCCCCCAACCGCCGCCGCCGCCGCCGCGUCGUCCCCGGAGCCCGGAGCCGCCCCCCCCCGCCCCCCCGGCGGCUCCAAGCGCCAGAUCCGCUACUUGGAGAACCUCCUCCGCGUGUACACGGGGGAGAUCCGGCGGCUGCAGGAGCGGGAGCUGGACCUGGCCGAGCUGGACAGCGAGGACUCGUCGUACCUGCAGGAGAGCCGGCUGAAGCGGAAGAUGAUGCGCAUCUUCCAGCGGCUGUGCGAGCUGAAGCAGUGCAGCAGCCUGACGGGCCGCGUCAUCGAGCAGCGCAUCGCCUACCGCGGCACGCGCUACCCCGAGGUCAACCGCCGCAUCGAGCGCUUCAUCAACCGGCCCGAGGCCUUCCCCGACUACAGCGACAUCCUGAAGGUGAUCCAGAAGGCCAGCGCCAGGCACAGCCUGGGCCUGGCCAGGAGGCAGAUGGAGAGCAUGGCUCAGGACGCCUUCCGGGAGGUGGGGAACCGCCUGCAGGAGAGGAGGCACCUGGACCUGGUGUACAACUUCGGGAGCCAUCUGACGGAUCAGUACCGGCCGGGCACCGACCCGGCCCUGCUGGACCCCGAGUUGGCCAAACGGCUGCGCAGGAACCGCACGGUGGCUCUGAACCGACUGGACGCCGUGAUUCAGCGCUACGCACAGCUGCAGGACGAGAGCGAGGAGGAGGAGAGGGGCAGGAAGAGGGCUGCGAGGCUGCAGGGCGGCGCCGGCAGCAACAGGGAGCAGAGCGGGGCGAGCCCACGGAGCACCGCCAAGGAGAGCCGCGAGGAAGAGGAGGAGGAGGAGGAAGAGGAGGAGGAGGAAUCCAACAAGGAGGAGUCGGAGGAGGAAGAAGAGGAGGAAGAAGAGGAGGAGGAAGAGGAGGAAGAGGACGACUCUGACGCUGCAGCGGGAAAAGAGGAGGAAGAAGAGGAGGAAGAGGAGGAGGAAGAGGAGGAGGAGGAGGAGGAAGAGGAGGAGGAGGACACCAACAGCGCUGCGAAGGCUGAGGGCGAAGUGGCCGCCGCGCAGGAUCCGCCCCCCCCCCGAGGAAGAGGAGGCCCCGAGGCCGAAGGAGGAGGACGAGCAGAGCCCCGCGCCGGAGCUCUUUGUCCUCGAGAUCGAAGCGCUCCCCCUGGAGCCCCACGAGACCCCCCCGGGCUCCCCCGGCCCCUCCGAGGCGACCCCCAAAGCCGCCCCCGCCUCCCCCCAACCCUCGGAAGCCACCCCCCCACCGCCGCCCCCUUCUGCGGGGGUCCCCAUUUCGAGGACUUCCACCCCAAAAGCGGAGGAGGAGGAAGCCGGGCUCGGUGAGGGGCUCUGCUCAGUCUGGACUCGUCCCCAAACCCCGAUCCCACUCCCAAUGAAAAGACCCCACGGCAGCCCCCACCCCAUGGAGAAUGGGGCCGGGGGGGGUCCCAUCAGUUCCACCAGCGUCAACGGCAGCACUUCACCCCCCCUCAAACGGAGCCGGCGUGACCCCACGGGGGGCAGCCCGUGCCUGGAGGUGCACAGCGUGGGCUCGGAGGAUGAGGAGGAUGCUGGCGGUGUGGGGGGGGUCCCGGCGCAGCCCCCUGCCCGACUCCACCCGCGCCGACUCCCCCGGCCGUGACCUGGUCAGCAGCUCCCAGGGCA
This is an RNA transcript of Gallus gallus (chicken), 2502 nucleotides long. It is a transcript of the gene named death domain-associated protein 6-like, with no coding region annotated. The transcript has 6 exons. The record is from RefSeq and is a predicted model, not a curated record. Lineage: Eukaryota; Metazoa; Chordata; Aves; Galliformes; Phasianidae.